This 352-nucleotide unclassified non-coding RNA is filed under the name soil metagenome. RNAcentral describes it as "partial contains 5.8S ribosomal RNA, internal transcribed spacer 2, and large subunit ribosomal RNA". The stretch from base 1 to 120 matches the Rfam family "5.8S ribosomal RNA", at positions 35 to 154 of the family's 154-position model. The record is from RNAcentral.
GAUGAAGAACGCAGCGAAAUGCGAAAAGUAAUGUGAAUUGCAGAAUUCAGUGAAUCAUCGAAUCUUUGAACGCACAUUGCGACCGCUGGUACUCCGGCGGGCACGCCUGUCCGAGCGUCAUUUCAACCCUCAAGCCCUCCUUCGGGAUGGGCCUGGUGUUGGGGCUCGGCCGCCAUCUCCGGCGGCCGUCCCCUAAAUACAGUGGCGGUCACGUCGCGACUCCUUUGCGUAGUAGAAACACCUCGCUCCGGAUAGCAACGCGGUCCACGCCGUAAAACCCCCAAUUUUCAAUGGUUGACCUCGGAUCAGGUGGGAAUACCCGCUGAACUUAAGCAUAUCAAUAAGCGGAGGA